CCUGUUUAGAAAAACAUGCUUGACCAUAUUUAUUUUUAUGAAGUGGUGUAGGUUUGGCCACGAGAAAAGCAUGAAGCAGAGUGUCCUUGAAGCUGUAAACAGGGGAGGAGCAGAUGUUUCUUCCCUUCUACAGAGAACAUGAAGCAAAGGAAAAGAGGGAAAGCAGAGCUGCCCAGAAGGAAGGAAUGAAAUGUGCUGUUACCUGGUUUGUAAGGGGCUGAGAAGAUCCCACCUGCUUAAAUUUAAUUCUAGCUUGAUAGAACUUGCAUAGGCCUAUGCUUUGUGUGGGACCACUGGGCUCGAUAGAGACCUAGCAAAUCUAGUAAGACAGAAAAAGGGAAAUACAACCAGGAAAGAAUAUGUUCUCCAGAAUGAAGGCAUCGUGGCUGACCUGAUCUUCACAACCGCAACAGCACACCCACCAUCAGAAGUCCAUGCUUGGCUCCAGGAAGAUGUGGCUGCCUCUCAGUUGCAGUCAAUACGACAAUGGCAUGGCUGUGGAAACACCCUUUUAUUCCUCCAGCCUGGGCUGGACUCCUCUCUCGGCAGACAGACGCCUGGACAGGACUCUUCAGAAGACAAAAUAGAACAUGAAUGCCUGGUUCUCACCCUGAAUUUCUCCCUGAAGAUGUUUGGACAGCAAGUUCAGGGGAAUUCAUGAGGCAAAUCAGGCACCUCUUUGUGUAGGUGUCACAACACCAACGUGGCAUGGGUGCCACCAGAACCUGGGUUGUCUCCAGCAAUGGAUGGAUGGGAGUGAGGAAGCGUGCUCCUUAAACACUCAUCACCUGGGCUUCUCUCUGUGGCCUCAGGAAGGACUUUUUUUUUUUUUUUUUUUUUCUCCUAGGAGUUCCAUUACUAAAGAACAACAACUCUUAAAUCAGUGUAAGGUUAAAGGAGAUCUAAUGUCUCUGUAAUGGACUGGAUGCUGAAAUGCAGAUAUAUAACUCAGCAUGCUCAUUUAAUAGUAAAGGCAGAUGGUUUCACUAUUACAGCUUGUUGCUAGAGAGGAAUUUAUCUGGUAAUCCAAUAAUCGUAAUUGUAUUAUUUUUAUAAUAAACAAUGAGGCAAAUUCA
RNAcentral lists this long non-coding RNA (1076 nucleotides) under Anser cygnoides (Swan goose). RNAcentral describes it as "lncRNA (ENSACDG00005017109.1)". The record is from RNAcentral. Lineage: Eukaryota; Metazoa; Chordata; Aves; Anseriformes; Anatidae.